Molecule: unclassified non-coding RNA, 382 nt
Filed under: soil metagenome
Description: partial contains 5.8S ribosomal RNA, internal transcribed spacer 2, and large subunit ribosomal RNA
Rfam family: 5.8S ribosomal RNA (bases 1-120)
Source: RNAcentral
GAUGAAGAACGUAGCGAAAUGCGAUAAGUAAUGUGAAUUGCAGAAUUCAGUGAAUCAUCGAAUCUUUGAACGCACCUUGCACCCUUUGGCAUUCCGAAGGGUAUGCUCGUUUGAGUGUCAUUGUACUCUCACACUUCUGAUCCUUUGGAUUGGGAGCGGUGUACUUGGGUGUUGCUGCUUUACUGUGGCUCACCUCAAAUGCAUUCGUGCAACUCUUGGUUGGACAUAGUACGGCGUGAUAAGUAUCUUCGCCGGCACCUCGCAAGAGGGUGGCUGAUCAGGAGCUCUGUGCUUUCCAACUGUCUUCAGACAACAACUGACAACUUGACCUCAAAUCGAGUAGGACCACCCGCUGAACUUAAGCAUAUCAAUAAGCGGAGGA